This 337-nucleotide unclassified non-coding RNA is filed under the name soil metagenome. Its description in RNAcentral is "partial contains 5.8S ribosomal RNA, internal transcribed spacer 2, and large subunit ribosomal RNA". The stretch from base 1 to 120 matches the Rfam family "5.8S ribosomal RNA", at positions 35 to 154 of the family's 154-position model. The record is from RNAcentral.
GAUGAAGAACGCAGCGAAAUGCGAUAAGUAGUGUGAAUUGCAGAAUUCAGUGAAUCAUCGAAUCUUUGAACGCACAUUGCGCCCCUUGGUAUUCCAUGGGGCAUGCCUGUUCGAGCGUCAUUUGUACCCUCCAGCCCUACUGGGUAUUGGGCGUUUUGUUCCGCUACGCGCGUGAACUCGCCUCAAAUGCAUUGGCAGCCCGCCGUCCCGUGUGGGAGCGCAGCACAUUUUGCGCUCUCCGCUGCUGACGGUGGCAUCCACAAGUCUACCAUUUUACGCUUGACCUCGGAUCAGGUAGGGAUACCCGCUGAACUUAAGCAUAUCAAUAAGCGGAGGA